GAGCUGGCUGACUGCUUUUACAGAAAUACUAGUAGCACUUUUCUUUUAUACAGGGAAGUUAUUUAGGAAGCUGCAAGACUCUUCUUACCCCCCUGGGAUGGUUUGGCUUCAAACUGUGCCUUCCAAAGAGCAACUUGCAACUGGCGCGGCCUACUGCUUGUAUUGUAAUUUAUGAACCCAGUGGCUUGAAAGGUUCCUCCUGCUGCAAGGAUCAUGGUCAAAUAUCACCUGGCCCCAAACCUGAGUUUACCUGGGGAUCUACUCCAUGGAUUUGUUGAGAAGCUAAAAUCGUGAUGAUGGUACACAGUUAUCAUCCUGCCCCAUGUUCCUGCAAGUCCUCACACACUAUCAACUUGAAACACAGAAGAGCAUCCAAGGUCCUGAUCCAAGGUCGUUUCUGUUCUGCUCAACACUUUCACGUGGAGGCACCUGCUUGCUUCCUUGUCUGUAAUGAAAUCUGAACACAGGCUUAAAGAUCCGAAAGUCCAAGUGUUGCGACGAACGGAGAUGAACUGGUGGUUUGCCAUCCUGGGCUCAGCCGCUCAUCUCUCCUCAUCCUCUUCAGCAAAAAACGUGAGUAGCUGCAUUCAAAGCAGUACAUAGCAAUCAUCCAUCUCACCUUUGAAGCCUGAGUUUGUUGGCUUUUGGGCUUAAUCAUAACCAUUAGCUUCCAUUUAAUCUCUGAACCCAGUCACCCCGGCUCUCACAAACGUGCCAGCCGCCCUGUCUGCUGAGUCUGUAUAGCCACUGAGCCCUUGUUACCACUCAUUUGAUUUCUCCAUCACCUUUGUUGCCUUGCCUUGAUCCUCACCAUAACAUGGCUGGUUUAUGGUACCUUGCAGAGAAAUUUGGGGGUUCAUUUUCUAAUGCAAUGAGUUAUUUAUUUCUGACAUCCUAAUCUUCUUUUAAGAUCUUUUUUUCUUUUUUUCCUUUUUUUACUGAGCCUUUAGAACAGCAUAUUUCACUGUGUUUAUGUGGUAGAAGCACAUAAUAAAACUAUAACAACUAUUCUAGAAAUUUCA
Molecule: long non-coding RNA, 1022 nt
Filed under: Calidris pugnax (ruff)
Lineage: Eukaryota; Metazoa; Chordata; Aves; Charadriiformes; Scolopacidae
Description: lncRNA (ENSCPUG00000017225.1)
Source: RNAcentral